This 28-nucleotide small RNA is filed under the name Bombyx mori (domestic silkworm). RNAcentral's name for it is "ovarian small RNA-19324". The record is from RNAcentral. Lineage: Eukaryota; Metazoa; Arthropoda; Insecta; Lepidoptera; Bombycidae.
UAAGGUAGGAAUGAUCUAUAUUAUCAAA